This 253-nucleotide ribosomal RNA is filed under the name uncultured bacterium. Its description in RNAcentral is "partial 16S ribosomal RNA". It matches the Rfam family "Bacterial small subunit ribosomal RNA", at positions 524 to 776 of the family's 1533-position model. The record is from RNAcentral.
CACGUAGGAUCCGAGCGUUAUCCGAAUUUACUGGGCGUAAAGCGCGUGUAGGCGGUUCGGCAAGUUGGACGUGAAAGCUCCUGGCUCAACUGGGAGAGGUCGUUCAAAACUGCCGGGCUAGAGAGCGACAGAGGGAGGUGGAAUUCCCGGUGUAGUGGUGAGAUGCGUAGAUAUCGGGAGGAACACCAGUGGCGAAGGCGGCCUCCUGGGUCGUCUCUGACGAUCAGACGCGAAAGCUAGGGGAGCGAACGGG